Molecule: long non-coding RNA, 136 nt
Organism: Cebus imitator (Panamanian white-faced capuchin)
Lineage: Eukaryota; Metazoa; Chordata; Mammalia; Primates; Cebidae
Exons: 3
Source: RefSeq, a predicted model, not a curated record
ACUUUUUUAUUAGGAAUUGUAAUCUAGAAAUUACUUAAAGUAUAUGGAAGGAUGUGUGUAGAUUACAUGCAAAUACAGCACCAUUUUAUAUUAGGGACUUGAGCAGUUUCAGAUUUGGGUAUCCAUGGAGGUCCCU